Molecule: transfer RNA, 68 nt
Filed under: Turanogryllus eous
Lineage: Eukaryota; Metazoa; Arthropoda; Insecta; Orthoptera; Gryllidae
Description: tRNA-Ala
Rfam family: tRNA
About the family: Transfer RNA (tRNA) molecules are approximately 80 nucleotides in length.
Source: RNAcentral
GGGAUUAUAGUUAAAUAUAACAUUUGGGUUGCAUUCAAAAAGUAUUGAUAUUAUUUCAAUUAAUCUCA